GAUUAAGCCAUGCAUGUCUAAGUUCACACCCUCGUACGGUGAAACCGCGAAUGGCUCAUUAAAUCAGUCGAGGUUCCUUAGAUGAUCCCAAUCUACUUGGAUAACUGUGGUAAUUCUAGAGCUAAUACAUGCCAACCAGCUCCGACCCUUCGGGGAAAGAGCGCUUUUAUUAGUUCAAAACCAGUCGGGUCUUCGGGCUCGUCCUUUGGUGACUCUGGAUAACUUUGUGCCGAUCGCAUGGCCUCGAGCCGGCGACGCAUCUUUCAAAUGUCUGCCCUAUCAAAUGACGAUGGUACGUGAUCUGCCUACCAUGUUAACAACGGGUAGCGGGGAAUCAGGGUUCGAUUCCGGAGAGGGAGCAUGAGAAACGGCUACCACAUCCAAGGAAGGCAGCAGGCGCGCAACUUACCCACUCCUGGCACGGGGAGGUAGUGACGAAAAAUAACAAUACGGAACUCUUUUGAGGCUCCGUAAUUGGAAUGAGUACACUUUAAACCCUUUAACGAGGAUCUAUUGGAGGGCAAGUCUGGUGCCAGCAGCCGCGGUAAUUCCAGCUCCAAUAGCGUAUACUAAAGUUGUUGCGAUUAAAAAGCUCGUAGUUGGAUCUCAGGCAUGGGCGCGCGGUCCGCCUCGCGGCGGUCACUGCGUGUAUGUUUCCCAUCCUACGCUUCCCGGUUGUUCAGCCCAUGGUGCUCUUGACUGAGCGUUUUGGGUGGCCGGAACGUUUACUUUGAAGAAAUUAGAGUGUUCAAAGCAGGCACGUCGCCUGAAUAAUGGUGCAUGGAAUAAUGGAAUAGGACCUCGGUUCUAUUUUGCUGGUUUUCGGAACACGAGGUAAUGAUUAAGAGGGACAGACGGGGGCAUCCGUAUUGCGGUGUUAGAGGUGAAAUUCUUGGAUCAUCGCAAGACGAACAACUGCGAAAGCAUUUGCCAAGAAUGUUUUCAUUAGUCAA
RNAcentral lists this ribosomal RNA (953 nucleotides) under Nodilittorina pyramidalis. RNAcentral describes it as "SSU rRNA". It matches the Rfam family "Eukaryotic small subunit ribosomal RNA", at positions 42 to 980 of the family's 1831-position model. Lineage: Eukaryota; Metazoa; Mollusca; Gastropoda; Littorinimorpha; Littorinidae. The record is from RNAcentral.